UGUAAUUUGAAUCAAGAAAAUUCAAUAUUCUUCAAUGUAUAUACUCUUACGUCAUAUUUUAAACUUUUUAUAUUUUUAAAUAUUAGCGCGAAAUAAUUAUGCUUGGAGAUUGGUUAUAUAUAAAGUAGCAUUGUGCGCAUGCGCGGCGGGAAUCGUUAGAUGCUAACCAAUUCGAAUUAGACGCCAUGUUGAAUUUUAGGACAUUACCAAGUUGACAUCGGAAUCGUCGUCGUCCUCGUAAUUACAGCCUUUCUCGUCAUUCUGAGAUAAGAUGCCCGUCGUGCGAGCAUCAACGAAGAUUUAAAAACGUCAUCGUAAUCGUAAUCGUGCGCGAAUGAAGGAGUCGUGUGUUGUAUCGGUAAAAUAAAAACAGAAAAAUCGCUAAGUAGAAUCAGUAUUGUUGUUCGUCGUAUAUGAAAGUUUCGGUUAGAGUAAAAGAAAUUCGUCAAUAGAAAGAAACUCAUCAAGUUUCUUAUUUUCGGCAGCGUUUUGUUAAAAUUUAA
Vespula pensylvanica (western yellowjacket) is the source of this 503-nucleotide long non-coding RNA. RefSeq lists it as uncharacterized. Lineage: Eukaryota; Metazoa; Arthropoda; Insecta; Hymenoptera; Vespidae. The transcript is spliced from 3 exons. The record is from RefSeq and is a predicted model, not a curated record.